UGCCACAUAUUGAGUAUCAGUAUCUCACUAAAUGCUUCAAUAGCCACCUAGGAUGACAAACUAUUUUUCCCAUUUUACAGAUGAAGAAAGAGGCUUGGGAAAUAAUUCGCUGUCCAAGAUCAACAUCUAGGAAAUAGUAGAACUGGAUUUUGAAUCAAGUUAACUCCAAGGCUUGGUACUACCUUGCAGGGAUGUCACACCAAUAUGGCGGUGAAGACAUGGAGUUUUUCCACUGCCAUAUUUUGGUAUCCAUUAGCUGGCUUUGUGGAUUCCGAGUGGCAUCUGCGUCAGGAGUGGCGGCAGCACCUGAUCCAAGCUUCCUGGUCCAGGAGUGGUGCCCGAUCCCUGUGAUAGAGAGGUGUCCAGCAUCCGGAUGGGGUCAUGAGCAGGGAAGAUAGUUGUGGAGCUCGUCAGUUGUGGGGCUCAUCUUUGCUUUAGGUAAGUAUUUGGCGUGAACAUCAGGCUAUCCCCUGCUUGGUGAGAACUUUGUGAAGGCACAACUUUGCAAUCAUCCAGCAGACUUUGAAUUACAAACUUUUUUUUUCUCGAAUUGCAGCACUUACGCUGUUGGGAGGCACAGGAAAGGUUUCUUGGUGUAUUGAAUCCUAAUGGCAACUUUGAAUCUUAGGUACCCCCAGUUUUAUCAUAUUAAUACAUUUUAUUGGAAUUUUGCAUCAGGUAGUCAAUCAACAAAGAUGUGUGAAAUGUUCCCUACAUGCUAGGAUUUUCUGAGUCUCACUUGCUGGUUAAGGGGAACCCUCAGCUGAAGUCCUCAGUCCCUGACUUUGGAAAAGACUGUGAUUUAAUUGUGAGAACCCUGGGUUGCC
Molecule: long non-coding RNA, 827 nt
Filed under: Pan troglodytes (chimpanzee)
Lineage: Eukaryota; Metazoa; Chordata; Mammalia; Primates; Hominidae
Description: lncRNA (ENSPTRG00000053072.1)
Source: RNAcentral